This 506-nucleotide ribosomal RNA is filed under the name uncultured bacterium. RNAcentral's name for it is "partial 16S ribosomal RNA". It matches the Rfam family "Bacterial small subunit ribosomal RNA", at positions 28 to 523 of the family's 1533-position model. The record is from RNAcentral.
GACGAACGCUGGCGGCAGGCCUAACACAUGCAAGUCGAACGGUAACAGGAAACAGCUUGCUGUUUCGCUGACGAGUGGCGGACGGGUGAGUAAUGUCUGGGAAACUGCCUGAUGGAGGGGGAUAACUACUGGAAACGGUAGCUAAUACCGCAUAACGUCGCAAGACCAAAGAGGGGGACCUUCGGGCCUCUUGCCAUCGGAUGUGCCCAGAUGGGAUUAGCUAGUAGGUGGGGGAACGGCUCACCUAGGCGACGAUCCCUAGCUGGUCUGAGGCGGUGACCGGCCACACUGGAACUGAGACACGGUCCAGACUCCUACGGGAGGCAGCAGUGGGGAAUAUUGCACAAUGGGCGCAAGCCUGAUGCAGCCAUGUCGCGUGUAUGAAGAAGGCCUUCGGGUUGUAAAGUACUUUCAGCGGGGAGGAAGGGAGUAAAGUUAAUACCUUUGCUCAUUGACGUUACCCGCAGAAGAAGCACCGGCUAACUCCGUGCCAGCAGCCGCCGUAA